CUCGCCGGUGUGGAUGCGUUGGUGGGUGACCAGGUUGGAGUUCUGGCUGAAGCCCUUCCCGCAGGCCCCACAGGUGUAGGGUUUCUCCCCGGUGUGGGUGAUGCGGUGCCUCACCAGGUCCGAGCUGCGGCUGAAGCCCUUCCCGCACUCCCCGCAGAUGGUGGGGCGCACGCGGCCGCCCCGCAACCCCAGCAGCUCUUCCAGCGGCCCCAAAGCCGGCGGGUGCCCCAAAGCUCCGCUCCGGGACUGCGCUGCUGCUGCUUUCCGACGCCGCUUUGCAGGGCGACCCGGUGCCUCACUGCCGGGAUGGGCUGUGGCGGUGCUCUCGGGGUCCCGGGGGGGGUCCGGGCCUGAGGGCCCCCCCUCUGCGUCCAUCAUGCCCGGCCGGGAAACGCGGGGCCAGGGGGCGGCAGUGGGGGCUCCAGUGAUGGCGCAGCUGUUGUCCCCCGACCGCCCCCCCCCCGCAAAAAAAUACAAUGCACCCGCAGCGGGGACGGGGACGGGAGCCCCCAGCCGGGGGUUGCGGGGGGACCCCGGCGUGCGGCCCCGCGUGGUGCUGGGGGGGGUC
RNAcentral lists this long non-coding RNA (568 nucleotides) under Gallus gallus (chicken). The record is from RNAcentral. Lineage: Eukaryota; Metazoa; Chordata; Aves; Galliformes; Phasianidae.